CUACGAGUGGCUGCAGUGAGGAAUAUUGGUCAAUGGGCGCGAGCCUGAACCAGCCAUCCCGCGUGCAGGAUGACGGCCCUAUGGGUUGUAAACUGCUUUUCUAUGCCAAGAAACCUGAUUACGUGUAAUCAGUUGCCGGUAGCAUAGGAAUAAGCAUCGGCUAACUCCGUGCCAGCAGCCGCGGUAAUACGGAGGAUGCAAGCGUUAUCCGGAUUCAUUGGGUUUAAAGGGUGCGCAGGUGGGCUUGUAAGUCAGUGGUGAAAUGCUGCCGCUUAACGGUAGAACUGCCAUUGAUACUGCGAGUCUUGAGUAUGGUUGAGGUAGGCGGAAUGUGUUGUGUAGCGGUGAAAUGCAUAGAUAUGACACAGAACGCCAAUUGCGAAGGCAGCUUACUAAGCCAUUACUGACGCUGAGGCACGAAAGCGUGGGGAGCGAACAGGAUUAGAUACCCUUGUAGUC
This 459-nucleotide ribosomal RNA is filed under the name uncultured bacterium. RNAcentral describes it as "partial 16S ribosomal RNA". It matches the Rfam family "Bacterial small subunit ribosomal RNA", at positions 339 to 795 of the family's 1533-position model. The record is from RNAcentral.